UAAACUGCGAAUGGCUCGGUAAAUCAGUAAUAGUUUAUUUGAUAGUGCAACCUACUCGGAUAACCGUAGUAACACUAGAGCUAAUACGUGCGUAAAUCCCGACUUUUUGAAGGGACGUAUUUAUCAGAUUUAUGGCUAACCGGGCUUUGCUCGUUUUGCGGUGAAUCAUGGUAACUUGACGGAUUGCAUGGCCUCCGUGCCGGCGACGUGUCAUUCAAGUUUCUGCCCCAUCAGGUUUCGACUGUAGUGUAUUGGACUACAGUGCCUAUAACGGGUAGCGGAGGAUUAGGGUUCGAUUCCGGAGAGGGAGCCUGAGAAACGGCUACCACAUCCAAGGAAGGCAGCAGGCGCGCAAAUUACCCAAUCCCAAUUCAGGGAGGUAGUGACAAGAAAUAACAAUGCUGGGGCAAUUCGCUUCUGCAAUUGGAAUGAGAACAACUUAAACCACUUAACGAGUACCAAUUGGAGGGCAAGUCUGGUGCCAGCAGCCGCGGUAAUUCCAGCUCCAAUAGCGUAUAUGUAAGUUGUUGCGAUUAGAAAGCCCGUAGCUGAACCUCGGAUUUCCCUGGCGGUCCG
RNAcentral lists this ribosomal RNA (576 nucleotides) under uncultured eukaryote. RNAcentral describes it as "SSU rRNA". It matches the Rfam family "Eukaryotic small subunit ribosomal RNA", at positions 83 to 661 of the family's 1831-position model. The record is from RNAcentral.